GAUGAAGAACGCAGCGAAAUGCGAUAAGUAGUGUGAAUUGCAGAAUUCAGUGAAUCAUCGAAUCUUUGAACGCACAUUGCGCCCCUUGGUAUUCCAUGGGGCAUGCCUGUUCGAGCGUCAUUUGUACCUUCAAGCUCUGCUUGGUGUUGGGUGUUUGUCUCGCCUCUGCGUGUAGACUCGCCUCAAAACAAUUGGCAGCCGGCGUAUUGAUUUCGGAGCGCAGUACAUCUCGCGCUUUGCACUCAUAACGACGACGUCCAAAAGUACAUUUUUACACUCUUCACCUCGGAUCAGGUAGGGAUACCCGCUGAACUUAAGCAUAUCAAUAAGCGGAGGA
RNAcentral lists this unclassified non-coding RNA (337 nucleotides) under soil metagenome. RNAcentral's name for it is "partial contains 5.8S ribosomal RNA, internal transcribed spacer 2, and large subunit ribosomal RNA". The stretch from base 1 to 120 matches the Rfam family "5.8S ribosomal RNA", at positions 35 to 154 of the family's 154-position model. The record is from RNAcentral.